RNAcentral lists this long non-coding RNA (2458 nucleotides) under Triticum aestivum (bread wheat). RNAcentral's name for it is "long non-coding RNA (TAES_LNC007052)". The record is from RNAcentral. Lineage: Eukaryota; Viridiplantae; Streptophyta; Magnoliopsida; Poales; Poaceae.
UUUGUUCAAUGCCCUUCUCGGAUUUGUGGGUCAUCCAGUUUAUUCUCUCAACCAUCUACCAUAAAAUAAAAGUGGUGUUCAGCUGUUAGUAAUGUCCACUGAAUUGUUUCAAAUAGAUACUCCUUGAAAGUCAAUAUAAUUAAGCCAAAGUUCAUACAGAGAAACGCAACAGUACAACAUGUUAGAAAACAAAAUUACAAUGUGGUUCUGGGACAAGUAUUAGAAUUCUAAUUUCAGGUAGAAGACCAAAGAAAAAAAAAUCUUAUUUCUUAAGUCUGAGCCCAAACAGCCGCAUCCAAUACUCAGGAUCAAGAUUUAAAGUUAAAACUGAAUGGGGUGACAGUGGGUAGCUCACUGCUCCAUUUUGCAAGUGAAAAUUAGCAACAACAUCUAGAGCUUUUCCUCGUAUUUUCUCUCUGGUAAGAUACCUAUACAUCAUAUGAGAAGGCUGUCAGUCUCUGCAAUUGAUAACACAUAAUGUUCCAUCCAUUCAGAGAAUGAAUAGUGUUAACUCCAAUCGUUGGUAACAUUCCCAAAUUCCAAUGUGCAUAGCAAAAGAACACGAAUCACAAUCAGAGGCUCGGGAAAGACCAGACGCAGUGACCGUUAACAAAUCCAAAUAUAUAUAUAUAUAUAUAGGACGUACAUAGAAAUUAGAUAUUUCGUAAUUAUUUCCAUAACAAAAAACAUACUGGCUGCAACAGAAUGAAAGACUAACCUAUUGACGAUCACAACAGUACAUACCAUCCCAUCUGAUGUUGCCAUCUCUCACAUUUGAUGAUUACAUCUUGUUAUUUCUAACAUGUACACCAUCGAGCAAUUGCUUUAUUAGAAAUAUAUUUACACAAUAUGAUCAGAGCAACAUCAAGGAGUCCAAUGAGGUGCACAGAUUCUCCUCAAAUUCCACAUGCAACCCUUAUAGAGAAGAGACAUAUUUGCUUAGGUGAUUUUUGAUUGAGCUCCUACAGAAAAAUUCAAAGAAAUCAUGAGGAGCAUGGAGCCAAGCAAACUGAUCAGAGUAAAUCAUGAGAGGAGAAGCCUCUCAACCUACUACAGGUAAUCGAAGUCAACAUUAAUUGGUGUAAGAAUUAAACCGUAAUGUAUAUCAACAACCCAGCAGUUGAUAAAAUAACCCUAACACAACCCAUUAAUACAAUAUAUAAUGACAUGACGUAGAUAGAGAUUGUGCAGAUAUCAUGAUCUACGAACCGUAUCUACAAAUAUUGAUUGCAAAGUCACAAACAAAACCUCCUGACAUCACAAAACAAAUGUUUCAUCAACAGAAACUCUAGCGAAUGCCAAUUGGAUUAUAUGAGUAAGAUAGGGACAUUAAAAAAGGAAAAAGAUAGUUUAAUAUUAUAUAUUCUAUUUUCUUACUUCACAUCACAGAGAAGCAAGUCAAAGAUAUUGCGAUACAUCUUAUCCUUCUAUAAAUUGACUGCAAAGGCACAAUCCCGACCAAAUUAUAUAGAACGAAUUGCUCCUGUGGUCCAAGUAUUGCAAAAAAAGUUAUAUAAAGAUUAUUCAACAGUGGGGAUAAACAUGACAUGUACUACCGAAAUCCCUGGAGCUUAGUCUGCAUGUCUAUUCGUCCUCUACGUAAAUCGGUGGUGGCCAAGAUGUGCUAACAGCUCACCUACCUCUCCCCGUUUAUCAAUAAAAUCAAUGCAGCACAAAGCAAGAAAAAAUAAGAUAGAUAUAUCUACCUGAUGUAAUUGCUUGUAACUCCAGAGUGUUAGUAGAGUCGAGGAGAGAACACCCAGCCAAUGUUACAGCAGAUCAAUGUGCAACCUUUGUUAUGGACGGUCCCCGUUGUAAAUCAACCUGGAAGAGAUGGAGAGGCGCCGGGAAGCUGAGGGAUUUGAUGCAUCAGAGCAGCCAUGGCCCAUGGACAGUGGAGAAGUGCCAGCGGCUCGAGAUCUGACGUGUCGCAGCCAGCAUAGGAAGAGGAGAGGCGGCGGUAGAUCAAGCCUUGGGCGCGGCAGGCGGCAGCACACUCACCCCUGUCGCACCCUUCCUUCUUCCCCUUCCUUCUUCUCCUCCCUGGAUCCUCCUCUAUCUCUGUUUUCUACCAGAAAAACCGAAGCCCUGCCAUGACCUUGGACCCCUCCCUACCAGCCAUGAAGGAUCGCCUCCACCUGCAAGGGCUUCGCGCCACCGCGCCGGAUCCCUCCUCCCGCGCCCGCUGGAUCCCGCCGCCACCGUUCUGCAUCGAUCAGACGCGUCGUCCCCAGCCACUCGAGCCGCCGCGUUGACCUGAUCCAGAAGCUGCGCUCGAGCGCUGCGGCGGGGGCGGCGAGUGGGCAGAGGUGCGGCCGCGGCGGCGGGCGGGUUGAGGUCGACGGCGGGGGCAAGUGGUGUGGCGGCGGGGGGAUUUGGCUCGGCCUGGGCACAGGCCAGGGUUGAGCCGAGGAGGCAGAUGCGUCCAGGUAGAUUUUCCAGCGAAUUGUUUUUCCGU